GGUGGUAUAGCCAAGUAGGUUUUUAAGGCAUAGAACUGCAAAUUCUUGAUCCUCAGUUCAAAUCUGAGUGCCAUCU
RNAcentral lists this transfer RNA (76 nucleotides) under Nephromyces sp. ex Molgula occidentalis. Its description in RNAcentral is "tRNA-Cys". It matches the Rfam family "tRNA". From Rfam's summary of the family: Transfer RNA (tRNA) molecules are approximately 80 nucleotides in length. The record is from RNAcentral. Lineage: Eukaryota; Apicomplexa; Aconoidasida; Nephromycida.